Molecule: ribosomal RNA, 192 nt
Filed under: uncultured Glomeromycotina
Lineage: Eukaryota; Fungi; Glomeromycota
Description: partial 18S ribosomal RNA
Rfam family: Eukaryotic small subunit ribosomal RNA
Source: RNAcentral
UAGCUAUUCAAUUGCUCAGAGGUGAMAUUCUUGGAUUUAUUGAAGACUGACUACUGCGAAAGCAUUUGCCAAGGAUGUUUUCAUUAAUCAAGAACGAAAGUUAGGGGAUCGAAGACGAUCAGAUACCGUCGUAGUCUUAACCAUAAACUAUGCCGACUAGGGAUCGGAUGAUGUUAAUUUUUUAAUGACUCA